Molecule: long non-coding RNA, 311 nt
Organism: Oncorhynchus nerka (sockeye salmon)
Lineage: Eukaryota; Metazoa; Chordata; Actinopteri; Salmoniformes; Salmonidae
Exons: 3
Source: RefSeq, a predicted model, not a curated record
UGUGUGUGUGUGUGUGUAGAGGGCCAGUCCUAAGAGUGACCAGGAGGAGAAUGAGCUGGUGAUGGGGUCUUUGAGGAGUCUGUAUGAACAGAAACAGAGGAGUCAUCAACACACAGAUCACAGACCGGUACCAGAGGCUCCAGCCCCAGUAGAGGUCCAGUCCAGUAGCAGACAGAGAUUAGAGCAGUUUAAAACCAGAGCAAAGCGCUCCCUCACAGAGUCACUGGAGGGCAUCUGGAAGGGAAGUAGCAAAGCCAGGGCUCAGAGAGAGAACAGUGAAGGAGACAUCAGUUCAUCUGACUCUACACUGA